CGUCUGUGGGGAACUGGGGCGCUGGUCGGUGCGCGGGCUGGGACGCUAAGUCAUGAGGAAUUAAACUGGGAAACCUGGCGUGGGUCCAGGCGCCUUCCAGGAGGCAUCCGGCGCGGCCCGGACGUGCUUCUACCCAGAACCACCCCCUCCAGGCCGGGGUGCACUUAACGGGGCUAUACAAAGAGUCUGGUGGGUGACUGUGGGCCUCAUCCCUAUCCCGGGGUCUGAUAGGGAAGACUCUCGGGCCCCGCAGGGAAUAUCUGGCUAGUGCACCCUCGGCGGGAGCGCCACUCUCCCUCCUUGGGCGGCGCCCCCCACCUCUCAUCCCGCCCAAUCCGUUUUGCAAAGUCGGCCAAAACAAAAACAAACUUGGAGCGCUGAUAGACACUGUUAUUGCCCAUCUGAACUCGUCAACUGAGAAGGAAAGAGAUGGUUUAUGCUGUGAAUAAAAUACAGUUGUGCUGUGAUGUAAAUCCCCUCAUCCUGGAGCAGCUGAGCAAGGUCUAAGGCAGGAAGAACCUUCAAGCAGGUCAUGGCUGUAAGCCUCCUGAGUUUAUCCCAGCAAGUUGUAUAAGGGAUUAUCUUUUUAUCUGCAUAUUAUGACAUAUGUGAGGAUGUGUAAAGGUUUGGCAAGCACUGGCCUACUCAACAGCCAGUCCUACCUAACUUCAGAAAUCUUUCUUGUGGGCAAAUGUCAGGAGAUAGGGCCCAGGCCCAGGUCCAGCUACAAAGAAUGAAUACAAUUAAAGUGCUACUUCCAUUCACCUCACCCC
Molecule: long non-coding RNA, 773 nt
Filed under: Homo sapiens (human)
Lineage: Eukaryota; Metazoa; Chordata; Mammalia; Primates; Hominidae
Description: HSALNT0201510
Source: RNAcentral